This 253-nucleotide ribosomal RNA is filed under the name uncultured bacterium. Its description in RNAcentral is "partial 16S ribosomal RNA". It matches the Rfam family "Bacterial small subunit ribosomal RNA", at positions 524 to 776 of the family's 1533-position model. The record is from RNAcentral.
UACGAAGGGGGCUAGCGUUGCUCGGAAUCACUGGGCGUAAAGGGUGCGUAGGCGGGUCUUUAAGUCAGGGGUGAAAUCCUGGAGCUCAACUCCAGAACUGCCUUUGAUACUGAGGAUCUUGAGUUCGGGAGAGGUGAGUGGAACUGCGAGUGUAGAGGUGAAAUUCGUAGAUAUUCGGAAGAACACCAGUGGCGAAGGCGACACACUGGCCCAUUACUGACGCUGAGGCUCGAAAGCGUGGGGAGCAAACAGG